RNAcentral lists this ribosomal RNA (207 nucleotides) under uncultured bacterium. Its description in RNAcentral is "partial 16S ribosomal RNA". It matches the Rfam family "Bacterial small subunit ribosomal RNA", at positions 568 to 774 of the family's 1533-position model. The record is from RNAcentral.
CGCGUAGGCUGUUGAGUAAGUCAAAUGUGUAAUCCCCGGGCUUAACCUGGGAACUGCAUUCGAUACUGCUUAACUAGAGUAUGGUAGAGGGAAGUGGAAUUCCGGGUGUAGCGGUGAAAUGCGUAGAUAUCCGGAGGAACACCAGUGGCGAAGGCGACUUCCUGGGCCAAUACUGACGCUGAGGUGCGAAAGCGUGGGGAGCAAACA